UAGUCUGGGAAACUGCCUGAUGGAGGGGGAUAACUACUGGAAACGGUAGCUAAUACCGCAUAAUGUCGCAAGCCAAAGUGGGGGACCUUCGGGCCUCAUGCCAUCAGAUGUGCCCAGAUGGGAUUAGCUAGUAGGUGGGGUAAUGGCUCACCUAGGCGACGAUCCCUAGCUGGUCUGAGAGGAUGACCAGCCACACUGGAACUGAGACACGGUCCAG
Molecule: ribosomal RNA, 217 nt
Filed under: uncultured bacterium
Lineage: Bacteria
Description: partial 16S ribosomal RNA
Rfam family: Bacterial small subunit ribosomal RNA
Source: RNAcentral